GAAAUGCGAUACGUAGUGUGAAUUGCAGAAUUCAGUGAAUCAUCAAACCUUUGAACGCACCUUGCGCCUGAGGCUAUACCUCAGGCAUGCCUGUUUGAGUGUCGUUUAAAAAUACUCACACAAACCCCUAAACAGGGGAAUGGGUGGUCCUGAGCGUUGGGAGCACUGCUCUCGUCGCUUGAAAUGCAGUGGAGAAUGGGGUGCCUUCUGUCGCCUUGUCGAACACGGCUCCAAUUGGUGUCUUAGUGUGCCCAGCACAUUUCCAGCAUCAAUAAGGCUGAUGGACCAAGGCGCAGUCUUUGGCUGCCUUCCGACCCGCACCGGCGUCCUUGACGUCCUUUUAAACCUGCGACCUCAAAUCAGGCAGAGCUACCCGCUGAAUUUAA
Molecule: unclassified non-coding RNA, 386 nt
Filed under: uncultured fungus
Lineage: Eukaryota; Fungi
Description: sequence contains ITS1
Rfam family: 5.8S ribosomal RNA (bases 1-104)
Source: RNAcentral